ACGGGAGGCAGCAGUGGGGAAUAUUGCACAAUGGGCGCAAGCCUGAUGCAGCGAUGCCGCGUGAGGGAAGAAGGUUUUCGGAUUGUAAACCUCUGUCAACAGGGACGAAAAUGACGGUACCUGUGAAGGAAGCUCCGGCUAACUACGUGCCAGCAGCCGCGGUAAUACGUAGGGAGCAAGCGUUAUCCGGAAUUACUGGGUGUAAAGGGCGUGUAGCCGGGUCGGCAAGUCAGAUGUGAAAUCCACGGGCUUAACUCGUGAACUGCAUUUGAAACUGCGGAUCUUGAGUAUCGGAGAGGCAAUCGGAAUUCCUUGUGUAGCGGUGAAAUGCGUAGAUAUAAGGAGGAACACCAGUGGCGAAGGCGGAUUGCUGGACGACAACUGACGGUGAGGCGCGAAAGCGUGGGGAGCAAACAGGAUUAGAUACCCUGGUA
This 434-nucleotide ribosomal RNA is filed under the name uncultured Oscillibacter sp. RNAcentral describes it as "partial 16S ribosomal RNA". It matches the Rfam family "Bacterial small subunit ribosomal RNA", at positions 341 to 792 of the family's 1533-position model. Lineage: Bacteria; Bacillati; Bacillota; Clostridia; Eubacteriales; Oscillospiraceae. The record is from RNAcentral.